GAUCAUGUGUAACGUGGUCAUUAUUGUCAAACUGAAAUGCGAAAGGAUCAUCUAUGGAAGAGCUAGCGCUGUUUCUCGGUUUGGCCACGGCCGUGAGGUAAAAAAAACAGCCAGCAGCAUCAGCAGGGCCAACAUGAAAUUCGUCAGGCUCCACGAAAUCAUUUUAGAAUUCCCUCAAUGUUCGAUGAACUGAAACCAAGAUUUAAAAAAAAAUAAAUCCUUGGUUUUUAGAGGCAAUUUAUGAAUUAUGAAAGACUGAGUUGGAGAAAUUCUAUUCCACUGUGUCUUAAACCUGUUGAAUGGAUCUGUUGUAAAUUUUUGCUGAGUAUGACGUGCUUUUGGAAGCUGAAGGAUAAAAAACGGGCCAAGUUCCUCCGCAGAUUCUACGAUGAAUUUUAGACUUUACCAACAUGGUCAUUGUGGGUUUUAGGUCAUUUUCCACGAAUGAAAAAUCUUCUUUUCGGUCGGGCAAAAAUGUAUGCAAUAGACUCAUUGAAGAAGUGAACUGAAAAUGUCCAAACCUGAUACCUUGUCACCUUGUUCUGUGUACCUGACAAUAAGUGCAGAAUCAAACAAAUAAUCUGAAUCUCCAAACUAGCUCAUAGAAUAUCAGUAACUAAAAUGCAAACUAAUUAAAUUCCACCCGUACAUCACUGGAUCCUAAUUUUAAAUGGAAAUAAAAAUCAUGUGGUUGAAAAUGAUCUGAGCAGUUUUGCUUGGUUUUACAAAAGCUGUGUCCUUUUCUCAAAAGUCGCGAUCUUUUUUCAUUCGAUACAGAAGUUGCUUUUGAAAUGCGAUUUUAAGUAUCCGAUUUUGAAUUACGACAUGGUAAACUACAUCUGCAUUGUUUGCUACGUUUUCUCGCAAAAAGAUCGGUCCAUUUCUUAACUCAUUAUUAAGUUAACAAUUUGAAAAACGAAUUCCAUCAUGAAAGAUUUUGAGAUAUGAAGAUAGAGGUUUCAGAUCUAAUGGACGUAUUUCUGUUAAACGGAACUAAGCGCCAAAUUGAGUUCCAUUUGAGGAUUUUAGAAUCCCGUAGAGCGCGUUCUGUCGAACGAAACUAAGUGCCAUGGAAAAGCAUUGCGAGAUAGGCCAGAACGAGCAUCGCGUUCCAAAACACUCGCCAAUCCAAGCUCCCCUCUCUCUUCCUCCCCCAAUGGCGCUUAGUUUCGUUUGAUAGAAAUACGUCCAAAUGUUCAUUUCGUUCCGGUCUCAUAUCUCUCAGAAUGAGUGAUCGUUGAGUGAAAAAGCUCAAAUUUUAUUUAAGGAAUUAAACCAUAGUUACCAAAUACAAAAACAGCACUUGUAACCUAAUUUCUCCUGAUCAAAAGUCAGUGCAUUUUCGUAUUUUCGUUUAAAGGCUGAAUUUUCAAAAUCAGAGUGAAUGAGAUUUGUGCAUGGUGUGCGAGAAUACAAAAUAUAAUUUUUCGGCGUCAAAAAUGGAGCUAAAAUAAUUUAAUAACAGACUUCAUGACACUUACUUCUGGAAGAAAUAUUAAUCGUUGUCCGAUGACUUCACAGUUAGCACAGAGGUAAAAAAAUGACAGCUAGGUAAAAUCGCUCGGUCAAACAUGAGAUUGUUAUCAGCUCCAGUUCAUUCGUAGAUGACGUUGAUAUAAGGAAUGGGUUAUUGCAUUCAAAUUUGAUUAUAAAUUCUACGGUAGUUAAGCGUCUCGUAAUAAAGCUUUGCGUUAAACGACGUUAAAUGACAAUUAUUUCACUCACUAGCAGACAUUCGAUUAAAUAAGGUGUGCAAACUUCCUCUAUUACGCUUUACGCUAUCAGAUUUCGCGCUACUACGCGAAAAAUUAGUCACUCUCUGUCGUAAAAUUAGUUUUGAGGCAUUGAAAAUUUUUCUCGAUUAUAGUUUUCAAAAAGGGGAUGAUGAGUGUCAUUAAGUGAGGAAAUCAACAGGCUCUCGAACUUCUGUCAAGUGUCAAAAUACCUUUACAUAUUUCUAAGGUCGGCAAAACAUUAUUUCCUUCAAAAUUUUCACCUUUUUGAUAACAGAGACGCUUAAUUACUCCCUUCCUCAUCCGCCAUUUGUCACUCUCUCAGAAGAGGUAGCAUAGUCAAUUUUUAGACGUGCGCCCUUUUGAUAACUUGAAAGACGUCUAACAUUUUUUGCUCUUCAAA
RNAcentral lists this long non-coding RNA (2136 nucleotides) under Bemisia tabaci. Its description in RNAcentral is "lncRNA ENSSWEETPG010653". The record is from RNAcentral. Lineage: Eukaryota; Metazoa; Arthropoda; Insecta; Hemiptera; Aleyrodidae.